AUCUGGAUGGCGAUUCGCUGUUGCUAGACAUUUGACCGUUUAUAUGUCUAUAUAAGGGGUGUGAUGGGCCAGGCGAAGUGCUUAAGACUUCAAGGGAAGCAGGAUCCGUUCCUAACAACAGCUAGAAGGGCCAUCCUGUAAAAACAAACGAAAAAGAAAAUUAAAGGUUCCUAAAAGAUUCUUGUAUGGUUCGUUAAAGGAACAUCCACAGAAGCUUUCUGUUUCACAAAAUGUUUUUUUGGUAGUGAAAAGGGUUCUUUAUUAAAAGGAAUGAGUGGGAUGGUGAAAAGUUGUUGUUUCAAAUCCUGGAACAUUCUUUAAACUAAAGGUGCCAAAAAUGGGUUCUUUAGAGCAAAGCCAUACACUCCAAAAAAUAGAGAAAGGUUCUGUUAAAGGCUCUUUAUGGAACCAUACAGCCCGACAAAGAACCUUCACACAGAUUUUUAAGAGUAAAGAUGAUCUCAAAUGUUUAUUUGAGCAAGACACUUAACCUCAGAUUACUCAUGGGCACUGGACCUGAUAUCGGUGAAGUCAUUCGGGAUAUAAGCAGUCACAAGUUACCAACGUUAACAUUUUGAACAACCAUCAACCUCACAUCACGAGCCAGAAAAUCUCCAUGAGAUUAUUUGUAUACUCCUGCAUACUCCUGCAAGUCAAAGUUUGAUUUCUUUGGUUGUAACCCCCCAACUACUCCCUAUAUUGUCCUUCAGUGUGUCCUAUUCCUGUGUGUCCUAUUCCUCCACACAUGCUCCUCAAUGUAUUUUUAGUGCUGUCUUAACACCCGAGCACCUGCCCCAGUCUGUACAUUUCACAUUUCAAGACACAUAGCCAAGUGGUUCAACAUUACGUGCUAAUUUACCAAAAUAAACCUGGUCUUAAAUAAUACUCAGUAGUCCUGCAGGAUUCAUAUACUAAAGUAUUUUUUGGUUAAACGACUUUGCUUGCCCAAAUAAAAUAUUGUUUUGACAGACCCAAUCGAUUUUAACAUUGCAUAAUGAAAGAAAGCAGAAACAGAGCUUUUUCCUCCCUUGAGAUGGUUUGUGGGUAAAUUUGUGUGGGUCAACAUCAUGUCUAUGCUGUU
Long non-coding RNA from Paramisgurnus dabryanus, 1081 nucleotides. RefSeq lists it as uncharacterized. Lineage: Eukaryota; Metazoa; Chordata; Actinopteri; Cypriniformes; Cobitidae. The record is from RefSeq and is a predicted model, not a curated record.